Molecule: ribosomal RNA, 467 nt
Filed under: uncultured bacterium
Lineage: Bacteria
Description: partial 16S ribosomal RNA
Rfam family: Bacterial small subunit ribosomal RNA
Source: RNAcentral
GACGAACGCUGGCGGCGUGCUUAACACAUGCAAGUCGAACGGAAAGGCCUCUUUCGGGGGGUACUCGAGUGGCGAACGGGUGAGUAACACGUGAGUAACCUGCCCUUGACUUUGGGAUAACUUCAGGAAACUGGGGCUAAUACCGGAUAGGAGCUCCUGCUGCAUGGUGGGGGUUGGAAAGUUUCGGCGGUUGGGGAUGGACUCGCGGCCUAUCAGCUUGUUGGUGGGGUAGUGGCUUACCAAGGCUUUGACGGGUAGCCGGCCUGAGAGGGUGACCGGCCACAUUGGGACUGAGAUACGGCCCAGACUCCUACGGGAGGCAGCAGUGGGGAAUAUUGCACAAUGGGUGGAAGCCUGAUGCAGCAACGCCGUGUGCGGGAUGACGGCCUUCAGGUUGUAAACCGCUUUCGCUCAUGACGAAGCUUUGUGUGACGGUAGUGGGUAAAGAAGCACCGGCUAACUACGUG